Molecule: ribosomal RNA, 253 nt
Filed under: uncultured bacterium
Lineage: Bacteria
Description: partial 16S ribosomal RNA
Rfam family: Bacterial small subunit ribosomal RNA
Source: RNAcentral
UAUGUAGGGGGCAAGCGUUGUCCGGAUUUAUUGGGCGUAAAGAGCGUGUAGGCGGCCUGAAAGGUCAGCUGUGAAAACUCGAGGCUCAACCUCGAGACGUCGGUUGAAACCAUCUGGCUAGAGUCCGGAAGAGGAGUGUGGAAUUCCCGGUGUAGCGGUGAAAUGCGCAGAUAUCGGGAAGAACACCCGUGGCGAAGGCGGCACUCUGGGACGGUACUGACGCUGAGACGCGAAAGCGUGGGGAGCGAACAGG